Molecule: long non-coding RNA, 415 nt
Organism: Vitis vinifera (wine grape)
Lineage: Eukaryota; Viridiplantae; Streptophyta; Magnoliopsida; Vitales; Vitaceae
Exons: 2
Source: RefSeq, a predicted model, not a curated record
GUUUGUGGUGUACCAUCUUGUUCUGAUCUAGAAACUGAUGAGCGAGAGAAUGUGUCAGUCAUUGCAAAUUGGUAGCUUUUGAAGUUUUAUAUUAAUUUUCAUGAACACAUCCAUACACACAUGGUUUUUUGAUUUAUUUUAUAAUUAUAAUUAUUUGUUUGCAACUUUAUUUUUAAGUUCAAGUCGAUAUGCAAGUGUAUGUGUCAGCAUUUCUACUUCCUUAUAAGUUUAUUGCUACCUCGGGUGUGAUUGGAACAGUUGAUUAUCUAACAUGGCAUGACCUUCAAUCGGCUUUUCCUGUGAACAUAUGUGGACUGUUCUAUUUACAUUGCAUGUACGGAGGAGUAGCCUUAGGAAGAUGAAGUGUGGCCCUGUAUUGAAUGCAAUUGGCAAAUCUUUAUUAUUUAUUUGUGCC